GGAAUCUUGGGCAAUGGGCGCAAGCCUGACCCAGCGACGCCGCGUGAGGGAUGAAGGCCUUCGGGUCGUACACCUCUGUCAGGAGGGAAGAACGGCGGUGAGGUGAACAAUCUCGCUGUCUGACGGUACCUGCGAAGGAAGGGACGGCUCACUCCGUGCCAGCAGACGCGGUAAUACGGAGGGCGCAAGCGUUGUUCGGAAUCACUGGGCGUAAAGCGCGUGUAGGCGGCUUGGCAAGUCGGAUGUGAAAUCCCGAGGCUCAACCUCGGAACUGCACUCGAAACUGCCUGGCUCGAGUCCCGGAGAGGGUGGCGGAAUUCCCGGUGUAGGGGUGAAAUCCGUAGAUAUCGGGAGGAACACCAGUGGCGAAGGCGGCCACCUGGACGGUGACUGACGCUGAGACGCGAAAGCGUGGGGAGCAAAC
Molecule: ribosomal RNA, 424 nt
Filed under: uncultured bacterium
Lineage: Bacteria
Description: bacterial SSU rRNA
Rfam family: Bacterial small subunit ribosomal RNA
Source: RNAcentral